Molecule: ribosomal RNA, 253 nt
Filed under: uncultured bacterium
Lineage: Bacteria
Description: partial 16S ribosomal RNA
Rfam family: Bacterial small subunit ribosomal RNA
Source: RNAcentral
UACAGAGGGUGCAAGCGUUGCUCGGAAUCACUGGGCGUAAAGGGCGUGUAGGCGGGAAGGAUAGUCAGAUGUGAAAUCCCUGGGCUCAACCCAGGAACUGCAUUUGAAACUCCCUUUCUUGAGUGUCGGAGAGGAAAGCGGAAUUCCUGGUGUAGAGGUGAAAUUCGUAGAUAUUCGGAAGAACACCAGUGGCGAAGGCGACUUACUGGACGAUUGUUGACGCUGAGGUGCGAAAGCGUGGGGAGCAAACAGG